This 254-nucleotide ribosomal RNA is filed under the name uncultured bacterium. RNAcentral describes it as "partial 16S ribosomal RNA". It matches the Rfam family "Bacterial small subunit ribosomal RNA", at positions 524 to 776 of the family's 1533-position model. The record is from RNAcentral.
UACAGAGGUCUCAAGCGUUGUUCGGAAUCACUGGGCGUAAAGGGCGCGUAGGCGGUCGUGACAAGUCACUUGUGAAAUCUCCGGGCUUAACUCGGAACGGUCAAGUGAUACUGUCGGACUAGAGUACAGAAGGGGCAACUGGAAUUCUCGGUGUAGCGGUGAAAUGCGUAGAUAUCGAGAGGAACACCUGCGGCGAAGGCGGGUUGCUGGGCUGAUACUGACGCUGAGGCGCGAAAGCCAGGGGAGCGAACGGG